This 2950-nucleotide long non-coding RNA is filed under the name Ananas comosus (pineapple). RNAcentral describes it as "long non-coding RNA (ACOM_LNC008071)". The record is from RNAcentral. Lineage: Eukaryota; Viridiplantae; Streptophyta; Magnoliopsida; Poales; Bromeliaceae.
GCUUCUACUUUUGCUUUAGGGGUGCGUUUGAUUCGCGCUAUUUUUUUAAGAUUCCUAGUAAUCCAAUAGGAAUAAAAAAAUAUGACGGUGUUUGGCUAAACGCAUUAAGUAAUCUAGUUGGUAAUACUGGAUUUACUUGGGAAUGAGAUGCAUCCCAAAGUACUAAUCUCAUUUCUUUAAGGGAGGGUGGGUAUUCUUAUACUAAUGAAUUUGAGUAAUUAUAAUAUGUCUAAUCUUUUUUUUUUUCCCACCCGCCGGCUAGUUGGUAUUAUUUUUCUUUACACUCUAAUCUCAUAUCUCUCUCUAAACUUAUCUUUUUCUUUCUAAACUUCAACUCUUUUUCUCUCUCUAAAUUAAGCUAUUUCUCCCCCUCUUUUUCUAAAAUCUCAACCCUCUCAUUCUCUCUAACCUCGACUCUAUUUCUCUUUCUAUUUUCUUUAAUUAUGCUCUCUCUUUCUAACCUAUAUUCUCUCUCUCUUUUUGCUAAAAAGAUAUUGAAAUUUUUUAUAGUAUUAUUUAAAAUUAAAUUAAUUAAUUAAUUAAUUAAUUGUAUAUUUUUUGUAAUCUUAAAUAACAUGACUAAAUAAUAUGACCGUACGAACCAAACACCGAAAUACUACAUUUUUAGUAAUAGGAUGAAUAGGAAUAAGAUUUUCGGAUAUUUUUUUACUCCUAGUAAUCUUUCAUAGUGCGAACCAAAUGCGCCUUAAGGGGAAUCUAUUGGAGAAAAUUGUGUCAAGUAAGUUAUUAGUGCUUCUUUGAACUUCUCUUUUGAAACAGCAAAUAUGUAAAAGCUCUACUUUGUCCAGGUGGCCGUAUUAGUGCUUAUAAAAUGUUCAAAUAUUGUCUUAUAAAAUGUUCAAAUAUAUGCCAGAUUGCCAUCAAUCUCUACGCAUGCAACAUGAACAAAAAGGACUGGGACAGACCUGAGGAGUGGAGGCCCGAGAGGUUUUUGAAUGGCAAGUUCGAGUCCUCGGACUUGCUCAAGACAAUGGCUUUCGGAGCGGGGAAGAGGGUUUGCGCGGGAUCUCUGCAGGCGAUGCUGAUCUCAUGUGUGUCCAUUGGUCGACUCGUGCAGGAGUUCGAGUGGAGGCCGAGGGAAGGAGAUGCGGAUGAUGUAGAUACAGUCCUGCUUACCACCCACAAGCUCCAUCCCUUGCAUGCAUACCUAACACCGAGAGGGAAAGUGAACCAUUAAGAUUCACAAUUCCAAGUUGAUCCAUUUUGCUUUGUAUGAAUGCAUGUUUAAUGUUAUACUGAAGCAGAUGAUCUUUCAAUCCUGCGCUUAUGGCUAUGGCUUAUCUUUAGACUUCACUAUGUUGAAAGAUUUUGACUAUUCUGGGAGGAAGGUCGUUUUGAUCAUUUGAGUGAUACUGCUUUUGUGCAAUGCUGUAGCUUGAUUUAUUAAAAUUGCUGGUUCAAAUGUUAGUGUGAAAUGUCUUGGUUUAUCCAAAUUAUUUCUUCAGACUCGAUGUUGAUUUUACUUCGGAUCAAGAAUUUAAGUGUCCAUCGGCAUGAGCCGUAUCUACCGUGCUGUACCGUGCCAACAGGAUACCGACAUGAUACAACUCAGGUGCCGAUGGUACAAUUCAAAAUUUUUUAUUUUAAAAUUUGUAAGUAAUUUUUUGAAUAAAGUUUAAAAGAUUUGAUAAAAAUACAUGAUAAACCGUUAAAAUAUUUUGUUGUUAAGAAAAAUAAAUAUUUCAUGGAAUUAUGUGUUGGCGCACAUGAAUUUUUGGUGACUAGUAAGCAUCGGCAUGGCCCGUCAUGCAUCAUAUCGUAUCGUGUCAGCAAGUUUCGACACGAUCUUGUACCACGGUACUUAAAUCCUUACUUCGAAUAAUACAAUUUUGUCUGGAACUAAGUUCUUAUUUAGUCGAUUAAUGCAUGGUACCCGAAAAUUGUUCCAAUUUUUUUAUCAAGCUAUACCAACAAAUUGAGAUAGUGCAUCAACCCAAAUCAAGCUUAAAUUUCUAGUCAAUGAAUUAUCCAAAAAAAUCUGUAUGAUUACAAGCUAAAUAGUUUACUUGAAUUUGAAUUUGGUUAUUCUUGGUUUUCCGAAAUGGAAAUUAAUUUAUUGUGAACGGGGCCGUAAACUAGCUGUACACGCGGCAAACGUGCAGCUGGAUGAAUCAUCUCUCUACCAGAUUUUUUUUAAAAUUUUUUUUUUAUUUUUUUUUUCUCAGCAGAAAAUGUUUUCGAUUUUUAAUUUAAUUUUUUUAAAAAGUACGCCCGUAAGCAUCUUCCUGACACCCCGCAAUCAUAUCCGUCCAGAUGGCAACGGAAGGUUCGUCUGCUCAGAUCCGACGGCUGCCGCUAAAAGCCUCGACAUCAGCUAUCCUGACCUCACGUUAUACAUGCCCAAUCGUUGCCCUUCUGGAUGAGGGGUUAUGGCCUGAACCUGAUCCACCGCGUCGUCCGUAGACCGUUCUGAUUUAAAAAUUAUUGCCUGGAUCAAGUUCACCACNCGUACGAACCAAACACCGAAAUACUACAUUUUUAGUAAUAGGAUGAAUAGGAAUAAGAUUUUCGGAUAUUUUUUUACUCCUAGUAAUCUUUCAUAGUGCGAACCAAAUGCGCCUUAAGGGGAAUCUAUUGGAGAAAAUUGUGUCAAGUAAGUUAUUACUGCUUCUUUGAACUUCUCUUUUGAAACAGCAAAUAUGUAAAAGCUCUACUUUGUCCAGGUGGCCGUAUUAGUGCUUAUAAAAUGUUCAAAUAUUGUCUUAUAAAAUGUUCAAAUAUAUGCCAGAUUGCCAUCAAUCUCUACGCAUGCAACAUGAACAAAAAGGACUGGGACAGACCUGAGGAGUGGAGGCCCGAGAGGUUUUUGAAUGGCAAGUUCGAGUCCUCGGACUUGCUCAAGACAAUGGCUUUCGGAGCGGGGAAGAGGGUUUGCGCGGGAUCUCUGCAGGCGAUGCUGAUCUCAUGUGUGUCCAUUGGUCGACUCGUG